This 253-nucleotide ribosomal RNA is filed under the name uncultured bacterium. Its description in RNAcentral is "partial 16S ribosomal RNA". It matches the Rfam family "Bacterial small subunit ribosomal RNA", at positions 524 to 776 of the family's 1533-position model. The record is from RNAcentral.
GACAUAGGUGGCGAACGUUAUCCGGAUUUAUUGGGCGUAAAGCGCGUGUAGGCGGCUUUGCAAGUCGGGUGUGAAAGCCCUCAGCUCAACUGAGGAAGUGCGCCCGAAACUGCAGAGCUUGAGUGCCGGAGAGGGUGGCGGAAUUCCCCAAGUAGAGGUGAAAUUCGUAGAUAUGGGGAGGAACACCGGUGGCGAAGGCGGCCACCUGGACGGUAACUGACGCUGAGACGCGAAAGCGUGGGGAGCAAACAGG